UACGGAGGGUGCAAGCAUUAAUCGGAAUUAUUGGGCGUAAAGGGCGCGUAGGCUGGAAUGAAAGUCAGAUGUGAAAUCCUGGGGCUCAACCUCAGAACAGCAUUUGAAACUUCAUUUCUUGAGGGUAGGCGGAGAAAACGGAAUUCCACAAGUAGCGGUGAGAUGCGUAGAUAUGUGGAAGAACACCGGUGGCGAAGGCGGUUUUCUAGCUUACUCCUGACGCUGAGGCGCGAAAGCAAGGGGAUCAAACAGG
This 253-nucleotide ribosomal RNA is filed under the name uncultured bacterium. Its description in RNAcentral is "partial 16S ribosomal RNA". It matches the Rfam family "Bacterial small subunit ribosomal RNA", at positions 524 to 776 of the family's 1533-position model. The record is from RNAcentral.